This 205-nucleotide unclassified non-coding RNA is filed under the name Hevea brasiliensis (rubber tree). Lineage: Eukaryota; Viridiplantae; Streptophyta; Magnoliopsida; Malpighiales; Euphorbiaceae. The record is from RNAcentral.
GCGGGCGCGUGCGAAUUGUAUGACGUAGUCGGAGGGUACACGCUAUAUCCAGUCGCCGGCUGCGGCGGCGGGUAUGCACUAAAUCCAAUCUCCGGUGCCGCCAUUUUCGGAGGAAGGACCGGGUACAAAUUCGAAGGCGGAGGAUAAACUUGCGGCUGAGGAGGAGGCGGCGGCGGAAGAUAAGCCCCGCCGUGAGCGACGGCGG